AACGAACGCUGGCGGCAUGCCUAACACAUGCAAGUCGAACGAGACCUUCGGGUCUAGUGGCGCACGGGUGCGUAACGCGUGGGAACCUGCCCUUGGGUUCGGAAUAACUCCCCGAAAGGGGUGCUAAUACCGGAUAAUGUCUUCGGACCCAAGAUUUAUCGCCUUUGGAUGGGCCCGCGUUGGUUUAGCUAGUUGGUAGGGUAAAAGCCUACCACGGCGACGAUCCAUAGCUGGUCUGAGAGGAUGAUCAGCCACACUGAGACUGAGACACGGCCCAGACUCCUACGGGAGGCAGCAGUGGGGAAUAUUGGACAAUGGGCGAAAGCCUGAUCCAGCAAGGCCGCGUGAGUGAUGAAGGCCUUAGGGUUGUAAAGCUCGUUUACCCGGGAUGAUAAUGACAGUACCGGGAGAAUAAGCUCCGGCUAACUCCGUG
Molecule: ribosomal RNA, 433 nt
Filed under: uncultured bacterium
Lineage: Bacteria
Description: partial 16S ribosomal RNA
Rfam family: Bacterial small subunit ribosomal RNA
Source: RNAcentral